GACGAACGCUGGCGGCGUGCUUAACACAUGCAAGUCGAACGGAAAGGCCCCCAUCUUGGUGGGGGUGCUCGAGUGGCGAACGGGUGAGUAACACGUGGGUGAUCUGCCCUGUACUUCGGGAUAAGCUUGGGAAACUGGGUCUAAUACCGGAUAGGACCAUGGUUUAGUGUCUCAUGGUGGAAAGAUUAUUGUUUUGGUGCAGGAUGAGCUCGCGGCCUAUCAGCUUGUUGGUGGGGUAAUGGCCUACCAAGGCGUCGACGGGUAGCCGGCCUGAGAGGGUGGACGGCCACAUUGGGACUGAGAUACGGCCCAGACUCCUACGGGAGGCAGCAGUGGUGAAUAGUGCACAAUGGGCGCAAGCCUGAUGCAGCGACGCCGCGUGGAGGAUGACGGCCUUCGGGGUGUAAACUCCUUUCGUUAGGGACGAAGCCGCACUUUUUUGGGUGUGGUGACGGUACCUUUGUUAAGAAGCACCGGCUAACUACGUG
Molecule: ribosomal RNA, 488 nt
Filed under: uncultured bacterium
Lineage: Bacteria
Description: partial 16S ribosomal RNA
Rfam family: Bacterial small subunit ribosomal RNA
Source: RNAcentral